CGUAACAAGGUCUCCGUUGGUGAACCAGCGGAGGGAUCAUUACCGAGUUUACAACUCCCAAACCCCUGUGAACAUACCUUAAUGUUGCCUCGGCGGAUCAGCCCGCGCCCCGUAAAACGGGACGGCCCGCCAGAGGACCCAAACUCUAAUGUUUCUUAUUGUAACUUCUGAGUAAAACAAACAAAUAAAUCAAAACUUUCAACAACGGAUCUCUUGGUUCUGGCAUCGAUGAAGAACGCAGCAAAAUGCGAUAAGUAAUGUGAAUUGCAGAAUUCAGUGAAUCAUCGAAUCUUUGAACGCACAUUGCGCCCGCUGGUAUUCCGGCGGGCAUGCCUGUUCGAGCGUCAUUUCAACCCUCAAGCCCCCGGGUUUGGUGUUGGGGAUCGGCUCUGCCUUCUGGCGGUGCCGCCCCCGAAAUACAUUGGCGGUCUCGCUGCAGCCUCCAUUGCGUAGUAGCUAACACCUCGCAACUGGAACGCGGCGCGGCCAUGCCGUAAAACCCCAACUUCUGAAUGUUGACCUCGGAUCAGGUAGGAAUACCCGCUGAACUUAAGCAUAUCAA
RNAcentral lists this ribosomal RNA (562 nucleotides) under Fusarium avenaceum. RNAcentral describes it as "eukaryotic LSU rRNA". The stretch from base 194 to 347 matches the Rfam family "5.8S ribosomal RNA". The record is from RNAcentral. Lineage: Eukaryota; Fungi; Ascomycota; Sordariomycetes; Hypocreales; Nectriaceae.